Molecule: long non-coding RNA, 1188 nt
Filed under: Equus asinus (donkey)
Lineage: Eukaryota; Metazoa; Chordata; Mammalia; Perissodactyla; Equidae
Description: lncRNA (ENSEASG00005027776.1)
Source: RNAcentral
CUGCGCAGUCGCUGAUGACGUCACAGAGAACAAGGCCUUUGAGCUGGGCCUUGAGGAUGAGUAGGGGGUUGUCAACUGGAGGGAGGGAGGCCCCUCCAGGCAGAUGGGUCCUGUGUGGCUGGAGGGAGCCCUGUGGGAGAGGCAGGGCGGAUGGAUGGAGGCCCAGCCGGGAGGCCUCUGAGAGCUGACACGGAGGAGAGAGCGAGGAGGCAUCACGACUCCUCAAAGGGGUGGGGAUCACAGACAGCGGAGCGUCAGGGAGGGGAGCUCUGAGAGUCUGGCCCAACCCAGAACGGAGGGACAGAGGGGACACUGCAGUCGCCAGCUCCGUCCCACGUCCCUCACCCUCCUUCCUCACUGCAUCCUCACAAUGACUCUAUGGCCGUGAUGUGGUAGUUCCAUUCUACAAACAUAAAAUGAAAGACCAGCGCCCCCCUCACCCCAGGGUAACCCGGUCUGGAUCCAGCUGCAUCGCUCCCUCGAUUUCCUGCAUAGGUAGACUUGCCAUCCACACGCAUUACCAAAAGCCAGAGUGGAUUCUGUUCCUCGCCUCUUAUAACCCCGAUGAUGCAGAGGAGAGUCUGAACUCGGGCCCGUCCGCCAACGAGCAGAGGUGCCGAGACAGGGACCAGGGAGUGUGUCUGGAGAUGGAGAUUCGAGAGGAGGUGGAGCGGAGGCUAGAACUCCAAGAGUCACCCACGCCCUCGAGCGAGGACCCCAAAGGGCACAGCAAGAACACAGCAGGCGUCAGACCCUGGAGGGACUUGAAGGCCAAGGACCAGAAUGUUGACAUUCUUCUUUGUUUUUUUUAAACCAAUCUUGAUUAUUCUUGACCCUGAGUACACAUCUUUUCCAUCUUCUACGUGAGGAACGGCAAGCACGGGGUGAAGGUUUCUGCCGCACAGAGAAGCACCAAGGCUAUCGCCAGGAAAGCUCUCGUGCGGUGGUUCUGAGUUCCUCCUGCCUCCCCACGCGUUAGAAGAGAGUGGCACCCCGGGUCUGACCUUGCCAAAAUUGUCCGCUCCUCUAGGAAGGAAGAAAUCUCUACACUGAUCAGCAAAAUGUUUCUGUAAUUCUGGAAACCCAGUGACCAGGUCACUAGCUUUCAGGCUGUCUUGUCUCACAGCUGCUGAGGCUGAUAAGUGACGUUCCAUCUUUUUAGGCUACAUUAAUUUAAAUAAAGCCUUU